Molecule: small nuclear RNA, 106 nt
Organism: Otolemur garnettii (small-eared galago)
Lineage: Eukaryota; Metazoa; Chordata; Mammalia; Primates; Galagidae
Source: Ensembl
ACGCUCCACGCGGCAGCAUUUAUAUGAAAACUGAAAAGACACAGCAAAGAUUAGCAGGCCCCUCCAUGAGGAACACAGGCAAAUUUAGGAAGUGUUUCAGAUCUGU